Long non-coding RNA from Gasterosteus aculeatus aculeatus (three-spined stickleback), 758 nucleotides. Lineage: Eukaryota; Metazoa; Chordata; Actinopteri; Perciformes; Gasterosteidae. The record is from Ensembl.
CACAUUUGUGAGGUGUAAAUGUGUGAAUGUAUGUUUAUCACUCUUCUACAGGGAUGUCACAUGCUAACGUGUGUGUGUGUGUGUGUGUGUGUGUGUGUGUGUGUGUGUGUGUGUGUGUGUGUGGGUGUGCGUGUGCGUGUGCGUGCGCGUGUGUGUGUGUGAGCCGUUUGAAUCGAUCCCUCAGCAGAAAGAGGCAGAAAGUCAAUGCGGUCGAUGGUAAACGACACAGACGAUUAAACGCGUCGAUGCUAACGGGGAUGAAAAUGACUAAUCAGAGUAACAAGUGUUUUAUGUGUGCUAAAUGCUAACAUUAGCAUGCUAACUGCAGGUAGGCCCAUAAUGUUUACACAUGCUAAUUUGUGCUGCGCGAUUUACAACUGAGGUUGACGGGAAUCGUUGUAUUUCUUCAGGUGUUGUCAUAGAAACGCGUUAAAUCAGCGCUAACCGAAUACGCGCUGCAGGAUAACAGGAAUUAGUUUUUUCAUUUGUUCCUUCAAACAAGUUACAGGAUACAAUCUGUCAUUUGUUUAAAGGAAGUUUGCAGGAACCAACAAAUCUGCAAUCGGCAGAAAAUGUCUUAUGUGUUCUGUGUCUGUAUUCUUUACAUCGGUCAGGCAGCAGUGGUUCCUAAAGUCAGUGCUCUCUUAUAAUUAGAAUAAUACCCAGUGGCGACUGGUCCAUAUUAUGGGAAAAAAACGUAUUUUUACUGUAUUUUUACUUUUUACUUUACUGUUUGUGUAUUUAUGUUAUUGAAACGU